UUCCUCUCUCACGUCUCUCACUUACACUCUCUCCUAUCUGUCUCUGUCACCUUAUUCUCUUUCUCUAUCUCUCUGUAUUCUUCUCAUCGUUAUCUCUCUAUCACUUUAUUCUGUCCUGUUUCUUUCUUUCUUUAUUUAUCUUUCUUCCUCUCACUCUAUCUCUCAUUUGCUCUCCUUGCUCCCAUCUCUAACACUCUCGCCUCUCUCACUUUCACUCUCUCCUAUCUGUCUCUGUCAACUUAUUCUCUCUCCCUUUCUCUUUUUCUGUCUUUCUUUCUGCCUUUCUCUUCCCCUCCCUUUCUCUCUUUCUCCAGUUUCUCCUCCCCAUUCUCUCUCUAUCACUUUUUUCUGUCCUGUUUAUUUAUUUAUCUUUCUUUCUCUCACUCUAUUUCUUCUCAUUUGCUCUCCUUGCUCCCAUCUCUCUCUUCCACUCUCUCGCUUCCACUCUCUCCUAUCUGUCUCUGUCACCUUAUUCUUGCCCCCUCUCGCCCUCUCACUCUCUGUGUCUUUUUUCUGCCUUUCUCUCUCCCUCUCUCUGUCUGUCUUUCUCUCUGUCUUCUUGUAUCUCUCUGUCUUUAUUUCUGCCUGUCUCUCUGUCUCCCUCUCUCUCUCCCCCCCUUUCCAUAUCUUUCUACCUCUCUCUGUAUUCUUUAUCUUUCUCCUGUUUCUCUUCCCCAAUCCUCUGUUCUGUUUCUUUAUUUAUUUAUCUUACUUUCUCUCACUCUAUCUCUCAUUUGCUCUCCUUGCUACCAUCUCUCUCCUCCACUAUCUCGCGUCUCUCACUUGCACUCUCUCCUAUCUGUCUCUGUCACCUUAUUCUCUUUCUCUAUCUCUCUGUAUUCUUCUCAUCAUUCUCUCUCUAUCACUUUCUUCUGUCCUGUUUCUUUUGUUCUUUAUUUGUGUUUCUUUCUCUCACUCUAUCUCUCUGUAUUCUUCUCAUCAUUCUCUCUCUAUCACUUUCUUCUGUCCUGUUUCUUUUGUUCUUUAUUUGUCUUUUUUCUCUCACUCUAUCUCUCAUUUGCUCUGCUUGCUCCCAUCUCUAACACUCUCGCGUCUCUCAUUUACCCUCUUCCUUAUCUGUCUCUGUCAACUUUUUCUCUCCCAUUUUCUGCCUUUCUUUUUCCCUCCCUUUCUCUCUUUCUCCUUAUUUAUUUAUUUAUUUAUCUUUCCUUCGCUUACUCUCUCUCAUUUGCUCUCCUUGCUCGCGUCUCUCACUUACACUCUCACGUCUUCUUAUUCUCGCCCCUUUCUCUCUCUGUCUUUUUUUCUGUCUCUCUCUCUUCCCCUCUCUCUCUCUCAUUUUCCCUCUCUUUCCUCUCUCUCUCUCUCUCUCUCUCUCUCAGGCCCCGCCCCCUCCUCUACCUGCGCUCUGCUGCUGCUGUUUUGGCUCCUGUCAGUGAUUCACUCACAAGUUGGAAUCAGUUGAAGUAG
RNAcentral lists this long non-coding RNA (1431 nucleotides) under Astyanax mexicanus (Mexican tetra). RNAcentral's name for it is "lncRNA (ENSAMXG00005022039.1)". Lineage: Eukaryota; Metazoa; Chordata; Actinopteri; Characiformes; Acestrorhamphidae. The record is from RNAcentral.